Molecule: long non-coding RNA, 1402 nt
Filed under: Homo sapiens (human)
Lineage: Eukaryota; Metazoa; Chordata; Mammalia; Primates; Hominidae
Description: HSALNT0031017
Source: RNAcentral
UGAUAAUUGUACGGCUCUUCCCCUGCUCUCGCUCUCUCUCGCUGUCUCUCUCUCUCCCUCCCUCCCUCUUUCACCUGCCUCUCUCUCUCCCCCUCUCCCCGUCUCCCCUUCUCCUCCUCUCCCUUUCUCCCUCUCUCCUGACACCAUGUAAGACAUGCCUUGCUUCGCCUUCACCUUCUGCCAUGAUUCUAAGUUUCCUGAGACCUCCCCAGCCACGCAGAACGCUCUGCGAAGGCACGCGCUGAAAAUCACACAGCUGGAAAUGGUGAAUCCAAGCUGCCCAGUACCAGAGGGCGGGCACUUAACCCUCCACACACCCCAGUCUUUCCAGUAGAAACUACCUCAACAGGCUGUGGUAGGAGUUAGACGAGAUGACACAUAUGAAUCACUUGGACACCAUGUUCAGCAAGUGUGAGACCUCAGAAUAUUCUAGAAACUUGGAGCCUAAAAAGAAGUGUUUCUCCAAGACAUAAUGAGUGUUUUCGGUGCACUCAAGAAAGACAAAUUAAGGUAUGAAACCACGAAAUAAAUAAAACAUGCGCUACUUCUACGUUUUAUUGGAAGAGGGGUGGAAGGAGAGGUUACAAAGGAGGAGAGAACCCUGGCCCAUAAAGAAUCUAAGGUCCCCCUGCAUUGUAGCCGGGAGAAGUCCAGUGUCAGGACUCAGUCAGUCCCCAUCAUGACCGUGGGUUCAGGGGCGAGGGAUGCAGGGUAGCAGUAGGGGACUUCGUUGUCUUGAGUUUGGGUUUCCUUGGGAGUUCAGGAGCUUCCAGAGGUGAGAUUGUGUUACAAGGAGGUCAUUCACACUUGCCUCCCUAGGCUGAAGCUACCAUCUGUCUAUGCAGCACUCAGAGAUGACCAACACUUUACUACAUUGUUAUCUGGACAUCCCAACAACCUUCUGCAGUAGAUAAUAUUAUUUUCAUUUUACCCAUAAGGACUGAGGUUUAGUGGAGUGAGUUGCACAGGACAACACAGUGGCAAAAUCAAGACUUGCACCCAGGACUCCUGACUCCAAAUUCUUACACUAUUCCACAGCGCUUCUUGCUCUAGGGUCCUCUUUUCAGGUGUGGAAUAGUUUGAACAAAGACCCGCUUCAACCGUGAACCUGGAGUCAUCCUCUUGAAGUUUGACCCUCUUUGAUCCCGCCGGGGGUUGGUUUCCAAGAGGUGCCCUGGCCAGGUCUCUGUGAAGAACGCCGCCACUGCGACUGCUGCUCAUUAUCACACGGGAGAGCUCCCUGCUCCCUGAGGGAGAUGAGAAGAAAACCCCUGGUUCUGGCAGACCCGCCACAGCCCUGGGCAGCAGGCUGUCUACAAGGCGGGGGUGCUGUGGUGCCCUCAGCAAGCCAGCUCUCACUUGUUGAGUUUCUGUCGGUAUGCAUCCUCUGUGGGAUCGAACC